RNAcentral lists this ribosomal RNA (1441 nucleotides) under Listeria monocytogenes. RNAcentral's name for it is "partial 23S ribosomal RNA". It matches the Rfam family "Bacterial large subunit ribosomal RNA", at positions 331 to 1769 of the family's 2925-position model. Lineage: Bacteria; Bacillati; Bacillota; Bacilli; Caryophanales; Listeriaceae. The record is from RNAcentral.
AAAUGAAGCGGUCUGGAAAGGCCCGCCAAAGACGGUAACAGCCCGGUAGUUGAAAUAGCUUUCCCUCCAGAGUGGAUCCUGAGUACGGCGGAACACGUGAAAUUCCGUCGGAAUCCGGGAGGACCAUCUCCCAAGGCUAAAUACUCCCUAGUGACCGAUAGUGAACCAGUACCGUGAGGGAAAGGUGAAAAGCACCCCGGAAGGGGAGUGAAACAGUUCCUGAAACCGUGUGCCUACAAGUAGUUAGAGCCCGUUAAUGGGUGAUAGCGUGCCUUUUGUAGAAUGAACCGGCGAGUUACGAUUUGUUGCAAGGUUAAGCGGAAAAAGCGGAGCCGUAGCGAAAGCGAGUCUGAAUAGGGCGCAUAAGUAACAGGUCGUAGACCCGAAACCAGGUGAUCUACCCAUGUCCAGGAUGAAGGUAAGGUAAUACUUACUGGAGGUCCGAACCCACGCACGUUGAAAAGUGCGGGGAUGAGGUGUGGGUAGCGGAGAAAUUCCAAUCGAACUUGGAGAUAGCUGGUUCUCUCCGAAAUAGCUUUAGGGCUAGCCUCGAGGUAAAGAGUCAUGGAGGUAGAGCACUGUUUGGACUAGGGGCCCUUCUCGGGUUACCGAAUUCAGAUAAACUCCGAAUGCCAUGUACUUAUACUCGGGAGUCAGACUGCGAGUGAUAAGAUCCGUAGUCGAAAGGGAAACAGCCCAGACCACCAGUUAAGGUCCCCAAAUAUAUGUUAAGUGGAAAAGGAUGUGGGGUUGCUUAGACAACCAGGAUGUUGGCUUAGAAGCAGCCACCAUUGAAAGAGUGCGUAAUAGCUCACUGGUCGAGUGACCCCGCGCCGAAAAUGUACCGGGGCUAAACAUAUUACCGAAACUGUGGAUGAACCUCUUUAGAGGUUCGUGGUAGGAGAGCGUUCUAAGGGCGGUGAAGUCAGACCGGAAGGACUGGUGGAGCGCUUAGAAGUGAGAAUGCCGGUAUGAGUAGCGAAAGAAGGGUGAGAAUCCCUUCCACCGAAUAUCUAAGGUUUCCUGAGGAAGGCUCGUCCGCUCAGGGUUAGUCGGGACCUAAGCCGAGGCCGAUAGGCGUAGGCGAUGGACAACAGGUAGAGAUUCCUGUACCAGUGCUAAUUGUUUAACCGAUGGGGUGACACAGAAGGAUAGGGAAUCGCACGAAUGGAAAUGUGCGUCCAAGCAGUGAGUGUGAGAAGUAGGCAAAUCCGCUUCUCGCGAAGCAUGAGCUGUGAUGGGGAAGGAAAUUAAGUACGGAAGUUCCUGAUUUCACGCUGUCAAGAAAAGCCUCUAGGAAGAGUAGUACUGCCCGUACCGCAAACCGACACAGGUAGAUGAGGAGAGAAUCCUAAGGUGAGCGAGAGAACUCUCGUUAAGGAACUCGGCAAAAUGACCCCGUAACUUCGGGAGAAGGGGUGCUCUAUUAGGGUGCAAGCCC